Molecule: small RNA, 66 nt
Filed under: unclassified sequences
Description: queA RNA
Rfam family: queA RNA
Source: Rfam by way of RNAcentral
UUCAUGCCGUAACAUGAAGUUUUGCAUAUCCCGCUGCUAGCGGGACAGUGAACUGAAUGUGGCUAU